This is a long non-coding RNA of Camarhynchus parvulus, 3587 nucleotides long. RefSeq lists it as uncharacterized. Lineage: Eukaryota; Metazoa; Chordata; Aves; Passeriformes; Thraupidae. The record is from RefSeq and is a predicted model, not a curated record. The transcript has 4 exons.
UUCUGAUGACCCAGCUUUUUGGUAAGAGGGAAACUGCUUUCACAGAGGAGCAUUGUGGUUCAGAACUUUUAACAAUGAAGCAGCACAGGAAGCCAACACAGUGGCUCAGGACCCUUCCAGAGAAGCACUGGGGAGGCUGUGGAGAGGACCAUGCUCACCUCAGAUUCCUGAAAAGCAGGCACUGAGUGUCUCUGACAUCAGUUCUAAGCUUCUCUCCCUCCUCAGCUGAGAGGACAAAUGGAUUUUGCCAAUAAAAGCUAUUCAGAGUGAAAUGAUCCCAUCAUAAAAUACAUUCAAAGAAAGGAAGAGUGAAGGAAUCCAUAACACCAAGAGAGCUGCAUGGUCAACUCAUGUCACUUCUGUCACCCUGCUGAAUGCCACGUCACACUGCCAAUGCUUGGAAGCACUGACUGCUGGCUUCUGCAAGACUGGAAGGAAAGGAAGACCUGGACACAUUGACUACAUCUCAACUAUUAAACAAAAUUAGUCAGAGAAUUUUCCUGGAGGCCAACUGGCAUGAAAUAGCUUGAAUCCACACAGCUAAACUCUCUUGCCCUCCAAAUCAUGGUGGCCACAUCCAAAGUAUCUAUUGGAGAUGGUGCCUGACCUGGGUCAGUACCCGAGCUGUGCUUUGGCAUUGCCUGGAAGAGCAUUAGCAGGCUUGCACCAAAACCAUGCCAGGGACCAGUUCGGUGGUAUGGAUGGUUUCGGGCCCAUGCCUUGCUGGUCUUUUUUAGUUCAUUUAAUGUCAGAGGGAAACAUCAGUAAUUCUGUCAGGAGUCAACAGGAAACCCCCUUCUGGCCUCAGCAACCAGAAGCUGCCAAGAAGUAUAAUCAUUAGUUGUUCACCUCCUUCACAUUUGGAUUCUUUUUCUCAUUUUAUUUUUUAUCAAAUGAGCACUGAAAAUAUUUGAAAUCUCAUUGAGUAAUAAAAUUGGGCUGCUGUCUGCACAAAACUUGUUGGUUUUGAACUACCAAGAGAUUUUUCACACAAGCCGAGCUUCUGGCAAAGCCAGCUUCAGCUCUCCUCCCCGAUGAAGGGUCUCCUAUGGCUUUGGACAAGUUGCUAAGAGCUUGUGUGACCAGUGCCCUGUUUGGAUAUGGGGUAAAAAGCAAUGAGGUGCUGAGAUAUAAACAUACCAUUUGCUUGAGGCCACAUAAGCAUGCUGAACUGAUGUGAACAUAAAACUCCCUUUGAUUUCUGUGGCAACUUAUUUCACGUGUCUAGGAAGGCAAUUUAUUUUGAACCCUGCAAAAAGGACAUUGAAUAUGUUGUUAUAACAGGAUCUUAUCAAAGUCAGAGCUCUGGGACUGGGGUUGGAUAAGCCUGAAAUGUCCUUCAUACAGUGGGAGGUAGUGGAGAGCUCGUGCUCUGUGUUUCGAGAGCUAACUCUGUGCAAUGGUACCCUGAUUAUGCCAUGGAACUCUGUACUUCACAGUUCUGUGUUGUACUUCUGCCUGCAGCAAUAUAAAUCAGAAUCAGGCAAUUCAUGCCUGAAUCUUUUUCUCUAUUCUGAAGAUAAAUGGCAGUGAAGGCCGAGUAGUUUUAAAGAGCUCAUCGUACAAAAUUAUUGUAUUAGGCCAUGCUGUAUUACCGAGAUUACAGAAAAUUACCUACGUGUAUUGAAUUAAACCAUGAUUUUCCAAUGAUCUCAGCAGCAGCAGCAGAACUGGGACAAUUUAAUCACAGUAUUAUCAGUUUGGUAGGUAACUGCUAUCCUGAAUUGCUGCUCAGAAUGAGAAAAUGGUAUUGUUUUAUCCAGAAACUAGCCCUUAUUUAACUUCCAGCACCAGCACUUACUUUUCUGAGACCUCAGGCAUAUAUCUGAAUUUCUGAAGCUGACAGGUACUGAUGUCAACAACAUUUAGAGCAACGCAUGUUUUUUCUCAGGCUUGCUACUGGAUGAGUGUGCUCUUAAUUAAUGUGGUCAUUUGAUGUACAGCACCUUGCUAAACUAUUAGAACUUGAUUGUGUGCUUUUACCCAGUGCUCCUUUUUGGGUAAAAAGUCUGGUUCAUAAUUUACCUAUUCAUGGAUCAGUCUCAUAAAGGAGGUUGUAGAGAGCCCUACACAUGUGUUGUCAUACCUGGCCCAGGCUGUGCAAAUCUUAUUUAAUGAAAAUGUUAUGAAGCAAAGAAUCAAGUUGUUGACCAGAAUACUCAGAAUACUCAAUACUCAGAAAUUGGUAUGUUUUCCUCUGAGAUGGAUUUUGAAAAGCAGGAAGUAUGGUAAAGCAGAGGAGAAACAUUUAACCUUAUCUAAUUUUGCCUCCCUUUUCCUUCCCUGUUCUGUCUUGCCCCUCAAUCUUCAAGCACUUUCCCAUGGAUGCUUGCAUAUGGCAGUGGCUAUACUCAGACCUACUGAGACCAGUGCAUCAGUUAAGGUUUGUAAGACCAUAAUGUGUUUAUUUUUACAGUCUGAUCUUGUGAGAAACUGAGGAGGUCUUGCAUCUCCCUCCUACUGAUAACAGUGGUGUUGAAAGAGCUCAGUGCAUUCCAGGGCAAAGCCUUGGAGGCUGUGGGUUAGAGAGCUGCUAACUCUCCUUUGGAAGUACAUGCAGAUUCCUUUGGCCUUCAGUGGGGGAAAGCCUGGCUCCCCACUAAAGAAAAAGAAAAGUAAACAAUAAAAACCUAAGAUACAAACCCCCAACACAAUAGUUGUGGUGGUCCAAAUAAAACAUAAAAACCCCUGUCUCAGCCCAAGCAAUCAGUCUAGGGAGGCUUUGGAAUUAGGGGCUUGAAGCUCAACCCAGGGAUGAGUCCAUGGUGUCUUUGUGGAAGAAGGGUACAGGCUCUGGCCAUGCUCAAGUGGGCUUUGGUGUGCAAGGCUGUAGCCCAGUGGCCUGGGCUGGUAGUCCCAGCCGGCUGGCUCAGUGCUCAUGCACCCUGUACAGGCUCUGAGCUGUGCUCUGCUCCAUCACCCCAGGCUUCAUCUCAGGCUCUUUUUGACACUCUUUGGCUGUUUUAAAGCUGGAUCCUUUCAGCUUAUAUUCUCUCUCAAACAAUUCCCUCUCCUCCCCCCCACCCCUUCUCUACUUCCACAACUGAACUCACUUUUCCAAACUGCCCAUUCCACCAUCUAUCCACUCCAUAUGUUUAUAUUUUCCUAUUGCUGAGGCACAGCAUGCUGACCUGCCUGGACAGAGCUCCUUUAUCACAGAGAUAAACAUGAUGUCCCCCUCACAUAGAGUUUCUAUCAUGUGUGACCUUUCAUCUUGAACUGCCAUGACCUUUUUUUUAUUAAUGCUGUACUGUGCUGCUCGCAGAAGCCAGGAAAGAAAAUCUUUUGUUUCUAGAUAGAAUACUGCUAAAGGACAUGAUACGGUCUUGUUUUUAAUCCAGCUAAUUAAAAUCUGCAUGUGCAGUGUAACUGAGAAUGCAGCCUUCGCCCACCACUUUCCCACAGGCAGGGAAUAAAGGCCUUUAGUGCAGCAGCAGCUAGCCACCCUUGGAUAACAGAGAACAGAGACCACAAUUCAUCCCAGCUUUCCUUAUCAUAUUCGCAGAGGGCUUUCCCCUCCCUCCCUCUUUCCCUCCCCCUCUCUCUCCAUGGAAUCACUUACUGUAGCUAUGUGCCUCUAUAUAUCA